This 301-nucleotide ribosomal RNA is filed under the name uncultured bacterium. RNAcentral's name for it is "partial 16S ribosomal RNA". It matches the Rfam family "Bacterial small subunit ribosomal RNA", at positions 509 to 808 of the family's 1533-position model. The record is from RNAcentral.
CAGUCGCCGCGGGAAUACGGAGGGUGCAAGCGUUAAUCGGAAUUACUGGGCGUAAAGCGCACGCAGGCGGUCUGUCAAGUCAGAUGUGAAAUCCCCGGGCUUAACCUGGGAACUGCAUUUGAAACUGGCAGGCUAGAGUCUUGUAGAGGGGGGUAGAAUUCCAGGUGUAGCGGUGAAAUGCGUAGAUAUCGGAAGGAACACCUGUGGCGAAAGCGGCUCACUGGACCAUAACUGACGCUGAUGCACGAAAGCUAGGGGAGCAAACAGGAUUAGAUCCCCAGUAGUCCCUGUCUCUUAUACA